GAUGAACGCUGGCGGCGUGCCUAAUACAUGCAAGUCGAGCGAACAGAUGAGGAGCUUGCUCCUCUGACGUUAGCGGCGGACGGGUGAGUAACACGUGGAUAACCUACCUAUAAGACUGGGAUAACUUCGGGAAACCGGAGCUAAUACCGGAUAAUAUAUUGAACCGCAUGGUUCAAUAGUGAAAGACGGUUUUGCUGUCACUUAUAGAUGGAUCCGCGCCGCAUUAGCUAGUUGGUAAGGUAACGGCUUACCAAGGCAACGAUGCGUAGCCGACCUGAGAGGGUGAUCGGCCACACUGAAACUGAGACACGGUCCAGACCCCUACGGGAGGCAGCAGUAGGGAAUCUUCCGCAAUGGGCGAAAGCCUGACGGAGCAACGCCGCGGGAGUGAUGAAGGUCUUCGGAUCGUAAAACUCUGUUAUUAGGGAAGAACAAAUGUGUAAGUAACUAUGCACGUCUUGACGGUACCUAAUCAGAAAGCCACGGCUAACUACGU
RNAcentral lists this ribosomal RNA (496 nucleotides) under uncultured bacterium. RNAcentral's name for it is "partial 16S ribosomal RNA". It matches the Rfam family "Bacterial small subunit ribosomal RNA", at positions 28 to 506 of the family's 1533-position model. The record is from RNAcentral.